GGAGGGGUCGCCUAGUGGCCUAUGGCAGAGGUUUGCUAAACCUCCGAGGGUGUAAAAGCUCUCUCGUGGGUUCGAAUCCCACCCCCUCCGCCA
Molecule: transfer RNA, 93 nt
Filed under: Candidatus Woykebacteria bacterium RBG_16_43_9
Lineage: Bacteria; Candidatus Woykeibacteriota
Description: tRNA-Ser
Rfam family: tRNA
About the family: Transfer RNA (tRNA) molecules are approximately 80 nucleotides in length. Their secondary structure includes four short double-helical elements and three loops (D, anti-codon, and T loops). Further hydrogen bonds mediate the characteristic L-shaped molecular structure. tRNAs have two regions of fundamental functional importance: the anti-codon, which is responsible for specific mRNA codon recognition, and the 3' end, to which the tRNAs corresponding amino acid is attached (by aminoacyl-tRNA synthetases). tRNAs cope with the degeneracy of the genetic code in two manners: having more than one tRNA (with a specific anti-codon) for a particular amino acid; and 'wobble' base-pairing, i.e. permitting non-standard base-pairing at the 3rd anti-codon position.
Source: RNAcentral